GUUCCCGCCGCACGAGCACCCUCAUGAAGCGUCUUUUUUUUCUCCCGACGCAGGGCGAGCGCCGCCCACCGGCCGCCGCCCUCCGUCUCCCCCAAUAUUCCUCUCCGCCGUUCUGCUGCUCCCCUCCAUCUCAAUCCCAGUGAGAUGAGCAGGCCCGUCGCUCCCCGCACCCCUAAUCCCCUCCCUCUCAAACCCCGCCUGCGUCCGAUUGGAAGCUCCAAGGCAGCGGUGGCCGUAGCUCUGGGCUUGUCCCCCAAGGAGGAGGGAGUGGGAUCCCCUCGGUGUGCCCACACGAUGGCGGAUGCUGGUGUCAUGGGGUCCCCUCUACGCGCCCUCACAUCGGCGGACGCUGGGGAAGCAGGAUCCCCUCGGCGCGCCCUCACGGCGGCAGACACUAGGGGAGCGGGAUCGCCUCGGCGCGCCCUCACAGCGGUGGACACUGGGGGCCUGGAGUCCCCGCGGCGUGCUCUCAGAGACGACCUUACGGCGGCAGUCGCUGGUGGCCUGGGGUCCCCGUCUAUUUCGUUGUUGAUUCGGUCCCCGACUCUGUUGAGGCUGAAGCUUUUUUCGAUGAUGGCGAAAAUCGUUCGUGGCUCAGAGUCACAGCAAGCAGUUUUUGUGCAAGAACAGCGUCCAUUACAAUGAGUUUUUCAUUGUUGUUUUCGAUUGCAGUGAGUAGUAGUGGAUUUGUGGCACGACAGUUCCUUUCAAAUCUAUUGCAGGAGGAUGAUGCGUGAAUGGCUGCGUCUAUUGGAGGGUGAGCAGGUUGAUAGUGUGAAGAUUUAGCCGAAGACAAGCCAAGCAAUCAGCUUGCUGUCAUGGAGAAGAGGGAGAUGCCAAGCAUCGAGGAUGCAGAGACUGAUGAUGAGGACGUUGAUGUGCGUGGCCAUCCUCGAGGCACUUGAGGACGACGAAUCACUGGAGUACUACAUUGACGACGUCAUCGCUACCAUGCUUCCUGUGUAUAACCAGAGAUUAUUCAAAUCAAAGGGCAGCCCCUGAUCUUCUCCUUGAAGACUUUGGUUCUGCUCGUCCUCAGGUGCUGCAUGGUUUUCAUUCCCUAGAUCAAUAUGUUCACAUGAAUCCAUGAGAAGACUGUGGUUCUGCUCCUCCUCAAAUGCAGCAUGGUUAUCAUUUCCUAGAUCAAUGUUUUCACAUAAAUCCAUGAGAAGCGGGAUCAACUUCUUCGUCAUGGAUUACCGGCAGCUGGUUUAGAUCAGGUUCUAUUGGAACUAUGGAGGCAUGGCUUCUGUUGGAGAUUCUGCUGGUGCCGUAGCUUUUUGGGAUGAUGGAGGACGGCUCCUGGAGGAGAUGCUGAAUUUAUAGUAGGGGGGUGCGGGCUUCUGCUGAAUUUUUUGCUCCAAAAUUUUUGUUUAAGAAUUUUUAGGCGCUGGCCCUCUUUUGUUUUGGGGCUGGUCCUCUGUUUGUUUAGGUAUAGGUUUAUUAAAUGUGUUAAGACGCAGUCUUUAGGCAAUGUUUAGGCGUCAAUUUUUUUUACGCGGGAGUACCCUGGUGUGUGUGCCAGUUUUCGGUGGGCCGGGGGAGUUAAAAAGGGAUGCUAAUCUCCUUGGUUUUGGUGCGGCAGCUGAACAGCCGGCCGAGAAUGUGGCAACUGAUUAACUGAACAGCACUAAUGAGGGGUACAUGCGUCAUUUGACUACCUC
Molecule: long non-coding RNA, 1664 nt
Organism: Panicum hallii
Lineage: Eukaryota; Viridiplantae; Streptophyta; Magnoliopsida; Poales; Poaceae
Exons: 5
Source: RefSeq, a predicted model, not a curated record